UGAAAAAUGAGAAUUUUUGUGCUGCCACUACAAGUAUCAAAGUGGAUGGCUAUGUUUAUUGUACUAACUGUGGUUCACUCUCUCAAAAUGGCAUCUUCAGUAAGAAAAAUUAUCUAUCUUCUGUAUUUUUCUAAUCUUGUUAAAUCUUUCAGAUGCCAAGGUAAACCUGGUUUGUCCAGGAGACAGUGAUUCAUCAUUUACAAAUAGUAAAGGAUACUUUAAUAUCUUUGAAUUAGUGAAGACUGGAACAGAUAUUGGGAGUUGUCGAGUGAGUGUGGAUACAAGUAGAGCACCCCGAGGGUGUUCUUUUUUAACAGACAUAAAUGGUGGAUCAAGUGGCCAAUCCUUAAGCACAUGCACCAAUAAUGGAAAUAAUAAGUUCACUUGUGGACCUUAUUAUUUUACUCCAAAUGCCUGUUCACCUCCACCACCACCAAGUCCACCUCCUCCUCCACCACCACCACCACCAAAAACUCUGCCACCGCCACCACCUAGAAAACCACCACCACCACCCCCUAGAAAACCACCACCACCACCACCUAGAAGACCACCCCCACCACCACCAAGAACUCCUCCGCCACCACCACCAAGAACUCCUCCGCCACCACCACCAAGAACUCCUCCGCCACCACCACCAAGAACACCACCACCACCACCACCUAGAACCCCACCACCACCACCACCUAGAACCCCACCACCACCACCACCUAGAACCCCACCACCACCUAGAACCCCUCCACCACCACCACCACCAAGAACUCCUCCACCACCACCACCUAGAACACCUCCACCGCCACCACCAAGAACACCACCGCCACCACCACCAAAAACACCCCCCCCCCCACCACCAAGAAAUCCUCCGCCACCACCACUAAAAAACCUCCACCCCCA
This 891-nucleotide long non-coding RNA is filed under the name Selaginella moellendorffii. RNAcentral describes it as "long non-coding RNA (SMOE_LNC002407)". Lineage: Eukaryota; Viridiplantae; Streptophyta; Lycopodiopsida; Selaginellales; Selaginellaceae. The record is from RNAcentral.